GACGAACGCUGGCGGCGGGCUUAACACAUGCGAGUCGAACGGAAAGGCAGUGCGUGUGUGCGGUUCUCGAGUGGGGAACGGGUGAGUAAGAGGUGAGUAACCUGCCCUUGACUUUGGGAGAACUUCAGGAAACUGGAGCUAAUACCGGAUAGGAUCUCCUCUUGCGUGGUGGGGGUGGGAAAUUUGCGGCGGGUGGGGAUGGACGGGCGGCUUAUCGGCUUGUUGGUGGGGUAGUGGCUGACCAAGGCAUUGACGGGUAGCCGGCUUGGGAGGGUGACCGGGGUCGUUGGGACUGAGAUACGGACCAGACUCCUACGGGAGGCAGCAGUGGGGAAUAUUGCACAAUGGGCGGGAGCCUGAUGCAGCAGCGUCGCGUGCGGGAUGCCGGCCUUCGGGUUGUAAACCGCUUUCGCCUGUGACGAAGCGUGAGUGACGGUAACGGGUGAAGAAGCACCGGCUAACUACGUG
RNAcentral lists this ribosomal RNA (468 nucleotides) under uncultured bacterium. RNAcentral's name for it is "partial 16S ribosomal RNA". It matches the Rfam family "Bacterial small subunit ribosomal RNA", at positions 28 to 507 of the family's 1533-position model. The record is from RNAcentral.